This 1157-nucleotide long non-coding RNA is filed under the name Heterocephalus glaber (naked mole-rat). RNAcentral's name for it is "lncRNA (ENSHGLG00000040779.1)". Lineage: Eukaryota; Metazoa; Chordata; Mammalia; Rodentia; Bathyergidae. The record is from RNAcentral.
CCCCGCCCUCACCCCAGCCUUGGGCCUCCGUAGCUGUGCAGCUACCUAGUUCCACACUACAGAGGCACAGGAGGACAUAAAGACCAUUGUCCUGAGCUGCAGAAGUGAACAACAAAGAGAGGGCCUCUCUCAGCUCCCUGAUGAAAACUGAAGCCCACUGGAAAAGUGAAGAGAAUCUCUGCAAUAAUUGGCACACCAGACCACCGUGCUUGCUCCCGACUGCUGAGUGUGUCACCGGUGGCGAGGCUGCCUGCCAGGUGGAAGCACCCGAAACACGGCUCCCAGAUGCAAACUGCAGGACUCCGAAGCUCCGGAGAGCCUGGUGCAGUUCCCACACUAAAUGGCCGUAACCAGAGGGUCAGCUCUCAGGGACCUGGCAGUGAGCUUGGGAAAGAGAGGCAUUCAGCAAAACCACAACACAUUGACUUUUAAAUGGAAAACUCCAAAUUUAUUCCAAUUUCCAUGCGGGAUCAUCCUGAAAGACAGCGUAGCUGCAAUUUGGGAAAUAUGAUGCCUCAGAGGACCCUGUCCAACAUAUUGCAGAAUGAAUCCUGAGUGGUUUUGAAUUUGGUCAUCAAGUCCUAAAAAUUCACGGAAUUAAUGGCUCAGCCAAAUCACAGUUUGCAAGCUCAGCGCUCUCUUCCUGCUGAAGCGAGCAGUGUGUGGACACCUCACAAAGGUCCAGGAGAGGCGGCCAGGCGCUAACCUCCCGCAAGCAGGUUCUCCAUGGCUGCCUCCUCCUUCCCUCCAUCGCAGAUGGCCCUGACCGUGGUCAGCACGGCUGAACUGGCCUUGGAGAGGGAGUGGGGGGCCUCACUGCCAGACCCUGGAGCCAGGGCUCCACGGGAACAACGCAGUGCUGCGUGGCCGGGAAGAUGGCCGAGGUCAGUGGCGACCAAUGACCUCACUGGACCCCGGCUGGCACCUGGCCUCACCUAGCUGCACACAGCCCCCGGCCACUCUCAAGUGUCUGCCCGCCUCUCUGGACGCAUGCACAAGCUUCCUCCACCCUGAGAGCUGGGAAGGCUCCUGCCUUGGGCUCGUGUCACAGCUCAGAUGUCAGCAGCCCUGGGACUUCAGGGACCCUGAGUCCUCCUGAACCUCCAUUCUCUCCUCUCCACAACAGAGGCCAAGUGCUGCUGCCUUGCUUAGUUUUC